This 701-nucleotide ribosomal RNA is filed under the name Simplicispira sp. Its description in RNAcentral is "bacterial SSU rRNA". It matches the Rfam family "Bacterial small subunit ribosomal RNA", at positions 92 to 787 of the family's 1533-position model. The record is from RNAcentral. Lineage: Bacteria; Pseudomonadati; Pseudomonadota; Betaproteobacteria; Burkholderiales; Comamonadaceae.
CGAGUGGCGAACGGGUGAGUAAUACAUCGGAACGUGCCCGAUCGUGGGGGAUAACGCAGCGAAAGCUGUGCUAAUACCGCAUACGAUCUACGGAUGAAAGCAGGGGACCCGCAAGGGCCUUGCGCGGACGGAGCGGCCGAUGGCAGAUUAGGUAGUUGGUGGGAUAAAAGCUUACCAAGCCGACGAUCUGUAGCUGGUCUGAGAGGACGACCAGCCACACUGGGACUGAGACACGGCCCAGACUCCUACGGGAGGCAGCAGUGGGGAAUUUUGGACAAUGGGCGAAAGCCUGAUCCAGCCAUGCCGCGUGCAGGAUGAAGGCCUUCGGGUUGUAAACUGCUUUUGUACGGAACGAAAAGGUCUUCUCUAAUAAAGAGGGCCCAUGACGGUACCGUAAGAAUAAGCACCGGCUAACUACGUGCCAGCAGCCGCGGUAAUACGUAGGGUGCAAGCGUUAAUCGGAAUUACUGGGCGUAAAGCGUGCGCAGGCGGUUAUAUAAGACAGAUGUGAAAUCCCCGGGCUCAACCUGGGAACUGCAUUAGUGACUGUAUAGCUGGAGUGCGGCAGAGGGGGAUGGAAUUCCGCGUGUAGCAGUGAAAUGCGUAGAUAUGCGGAGGAACACCGAUGGCGAAGGCAAUCCCCUGGGCCUGCACUGACGCUCAUGCACGAAAGCGUGGGGAGCAAACAGGAUUAGAUACCC